GGCGUGCCUAAUACAUGCAAGUCGAGCGAACGGACGAGAAGCUUGCUUCUCUGAUGUUAGCGGCGGACGGGUGAGUAACACGUGGAUAACCUACCUAUAAGACUGGGAUAACUUCGGGAAACCGGAGCUAAUACCGGAUAAUAUUAUGAACCGCAUGGUUCAAAAGUGAAAGACGGUCUUGCUGUCACUUAUAGAUGGAUCCGCGCUGCAUUAGCUAGUUGGUAAGGUAACGGCUUACCAAGGCAACGAUGCAUAGCCGACCUGAGAGGGUGAUCGGCCACACUGGAACUGAGACACGGUCCAGACUCCUACGGGAGGCAGCAGUAGGGAAUCUUCCGCAAUGGGCGAAAGCCUGACGGAGCAACGCCGCGUGAGUGAUGAAGGUCUUCGGAUCGUAAAACUCUGUUAUUAGGGAAGAACAUAUGUGUAAGUAACUGUGCACAUCUUGACGGUACCUAAUCAGAAAGCCACGGCUAACUACGUGCCAGCAGCCGCGGUAAUACGUAGGUGGCAAGCGUUAUCCGGAAUUAUUGGGCGUAAAGCGCGCGUAGGCGGUUUUUUAAGUCUGAUGUGAAAGCCCACGGCUCAACCGUGGAGGGUCAUUGGAAACUGGAAAACUUGAGUGCAGAAGAGGAAAGUGGAAUUCCAUGUGUAGCGGUGAAAUGCGCAGAGAUAUGGAGGAACACCAGUGGCGAAGGCGACUUUCUGGUCUGUAACUGACGCUGAUGUGCGAAAGCGUGGGGAUCAAACAGGAUUAGAUACCCUGGUAGUCCACGCCGUAAACGAUGAGUGCUAAGUGUUAGGGGGUUUCCGCCCCUUAGUGCUGCAGCUAACGCAUUAAGCACUCCGCCUGGGGAGUACGACCGCAAGGUUGAAACUCAAAGGAAUUGACGGGGACCCGCACAAGCGGUGGAGCAUGUGGUUUAAUUCGAAGCAACGCGAAGAACCUUACCAAAUCUUGACAUCCUUUGACAACUCUAGAGAUAGAGCCUUCCCCU
This 998-nucleotide ribosomal RNA is filed under the name uncultured Staphylococcus sp. RNAcentral's name for it is "bacterial SSU rRNA". It matches the Rfam family "Bacterial small subunit ribosomal RNA", at positions 41 to 1020 of the family's 1533-position model. Lineage: Bacteria; Bacillati; Bacillota; Bacilli; Caryophanales; Staphylococcaceae. The record is from RNAcentral.